RNAcentral lists this long non-coding RNA (329 nucleotides) under Homo sapiens (human). RNAcentral's name for it is "HSALNT0389745". Lineage: Eukaryota; Metazoa; Chordata; Mammalia; Primates; Hominidae. The record is from RNAcentral.
GUGUGACUUUUUCAGAAGGUGAGUUACGCGUUCCGGGCAGUCAGUGCACUGCUCAGCAGGAGGAGGUCCUGCAGGUGGUGCUGCAAGGGGUCGGCUGGCCGCAGGGGGGCCGGCAGCAGGGGGACUGCACAGACACAGGCUGGCAGCAGGUGGUGGCUCAGCAGGAGGAGGUCCUGCAGGUGGUGCUGCAAGGGGUCGGCUGGCCGCAGGGAGGCCGGCAGCAGGGGGACUGCACAGACACAGGCUGGCAGCAGGGGGGCCGGCAGCAGGGGGACUGCACAGACACAGGCUGGCAGCAGGUGGUGGCCCAGCAGCAGGGCCUGCACACC